AGAGUUUGAUCCUGGCUCAGAUUGAACGCUGGCGGCAUGCUUUACACAUGCAAGUCGAACGGUAACAGGCCGCAAGGUGCUGACGAGUGGCGAACGGUGAGUAAUGCAUCGGAACGUGCCCAGUCGUGGGGGAUAACGCAGCGAAAGCUGCGCUAAUACCGCAUACGAUCUAUGGAUGAAAGCGGGGGACCGUAAGGCCUCGCGCGAUUGGAGCGGCCGAUGUCAGAUUAGGUAGUUGGUGGGUAAAGGCUCACCAAGCCAACGAUCCGUAGCUGGUCUGAGAGGACGACCAGCCACACUGGGACUGAGACACGGCCCAGACUCCUACGGGAGGCAGCAGUGGGGAAUUUUUGGACAAUGGGCGCAAGCCUGAUCCAGCAAUGCCGCGUGCAGGAAGAAGGCCUUCGGGUUGUAAACUGCUUUUGUACGGAACGAAAAGGCUCUGGUUAAUACCUGGAGCACAUGACGGUACCGUAAGAAUAAGCACCGGCUAACUACGUG
This 501-nucleotide ribosomal RNA is filed under the name uncultured bacterium. RNAcentral describes it as "bacterial SSU rRNA". It matches the Rfam family "Bacterial small subunit ribosomal RNA", at positions 8 to 507 of the family's 1533-position model. The record is from RNAcentral.